RNAcentral lists this small RNA (109 nucleotides) under Marmota monax (woodchuck). The record is from RNAcentral. Lineage: Eukaryota; Metazoa; Chordata; Mammalia; Rodentia; Sciuridae.
GCCGGGUGUGGCGGGGUGCACACCUGUAAUCCCAGAGACUCCAGAGGCUGAGGCAGGAAGAUUGCAAAUUCUAGGCCAUCCUUAGCAAAUUAGCAAGAUCUUGUCUCAA